Molecule: long non-coding RNA, 1443 nt
Organism: Daphnia pulex (common water flea)
Lineage: Eukaryota; Metazoa; Arthropoda; Branchiopoda; Diplostraca; Daphniidae
Exons: 6
Source: RefSeq, a predicted model, not a curated record
GUGCAGUCAGCAGUGAAGAUUCAUCAUAUACUUGCCUCUGUUCGUUCGUUUUUUUUUCAAUUGAGUGUCAUCGAGCUACAGCGGACAUUGUUUUCAUGUUCCUAAACGUUCUUCUUUGUUACGCUAGACGGCCUUUGCCUAUGAUCACUCUUGUCAGAAGCAAGAAGCAUCAGUUUAGUUACGUUUACUUUACACAUCUCUGAAAAAAUUUCUCGCUGCUACUAUUAGGAGAAAAUGUGAAAGGGGCAUGCAGCCUACUGUCAACUAUUGUAUUGUAAAUCCUGGGAUCCACUGAAUGUGUCAUCCAAAUGACAGAGUGUGUUUUCUACAAAUAAUUCAUCGACAGUCAAGUUUCUUCCUUCAAAAUUUUUGAACUCUUAUUUUAUGCCAUUAAAACUUUUAUUUUCUGUCAUAGAGAAAGCUAUGGGAGCAUAAUGAAGGCCAUGGGUAAUCUUCAUCAGGUUUAUUGCAGCAACUAGAGAGAAUUCACAUGAAAAGAUGCAGGGCACAUACCAUUAUGGGUCGAUAUCUGAAUGUUUUACUCAAGAAAUAGAUGUGACAUGACUGUUUAGUGUUUAAUGCCAAAGUUAAGUUGGAACUCUAACUUAAACACAGAUAACGCAUUGCUGCUGCCUUACAGCCACUGGCAGGAAAAUUAUUCUUUUAUUCAGAAAAUUGGAAAGCUGCUGAAGUAAUCCCCACUUGAUUCAUUUCGUGUCAGCUAGUGAAAGGCGUCACGAAUUCAAAUUUGGCUGCUGCGUGCUGUCUGCAAGCAAGCAAUCCAAUUGGCGGUCGCUAGGUGGCGCGAGUGUCUUCAGGGACCAAAGUCUGCCAUUUUGAUCCAUGACACAGCAGAAGUGGGAUGCCGGUGUGAAGUUUCGCAUGAUGAAAAUGUAAAGUUCAAUACCAAUUUGUCAAAUCAUCUAACUCGGACUUGAGUGCCUGUUCAUUUUGCCGAAAUGUCGUGCCUCGUGUGUCUUGCUGCCUGUAUCUGUACGUCUCGUCCCAUGCAAAAGCAAAAGUCCGCUGUUGGUUACCUUGUUGCAGCCUGAUGGUGUAAGAUGUGAUGAAGACUAAUUGAACUGUGGUUCCAGUGUUAUUCAGAAGUAGCUGGCGGUCUCCUGGAGUAGCCUGAAGUAGCCUGAAGUUGCCAGUGGUAUCCGGGUUGCUGACUUUAAAUAUUUUUCUCUGUUCUCAUUUGUGUAUUUUGCCCUGCCAGUCAUCCCGUGUUGCUGACUUGAAAUAUUUUUAUCCAUUUUUAUUUGUGGUUUUGCUCUGCCAGUGAGCAAAAUGGUUGAAUUGGUUUCAUCUGUUGUCUUUUUGUUUUACUUGGGCAGUAUACGAUUGUGGCAAACUGAUUCUAUGUCAGUUUUGAUACAGUCGACAACUGCUAGAUUAAAUUCCGGCUUUCUGCACCAACAAAAUAAUAACGGCACAUGUUAU